AAUGCAUCGGAACGUGCCCAGUCGUGGGGGAUAACGCAGCGAAAGCUGCGCUAAUACCGCAUACGAUCUAUGGAUGAAAGCGGGGGACCGUAAGGCCUCGCGCGAUUGGAGCGGCCGAUGUCAGAUUAGGUAGUUGGUGGGGUAAAGGCUCACCAAGCCAACGAUCUGUAGCUGGUCUGAGAGGAUGAUCAGUCACACUGGAACUGAGACACGGUCCAGACUCCUACGGGAGGCAGCAGUGGGGAAUAUUGGACAAUGGGCGAAAGCCUGAUCCAGCCAUGCCGCGUGUGUGAAGAAGGUCUUCGGAUUGUAAAGCACUUUAAGUUGGGAGGAAGGGUAGUAACUUAAUACGUUGCUACUUUGACGUUACCGACAGAAUAAGCACCGGCUAACUUCGUGCCAGCAGCCGCGGUAAUACGAAGGGUGCUAGCGUUGCUCGGAAUUACUGGGCGUAAAGGGAGCGUAGGCGGACAUUUAAGUCAGAGGUGAAAUCCCGGAGCUUAACUUCGGAACUGCCUUUGAUACUGGGUGUCUUGAGUGUGAGAGAGGUAUGUGGAACUCCGAGUGUAGAGGUGAAAUUCGUAGAUAUUCGGAAG
This 596-nucleotide ribosomal RNA is filed under the name uncultured bacterium. RNAcentral's name for it is "bacterial SSU rRNA". It matches the Rfam family "Bacterial small subunit ribosomal RNA", at positions 112 to 704 of the family's 1533-position model. The record is from RNAcentral.